Molecule: long non-coding RNA, 1339 nt
Filed under: Homo sapiens (human)
Lineage: Eukaryota; Metazoa; Chordata; Mammalia; Primates; Hominidae
Description: HSALNT0003807
Source: RNAcentral
GGGAGAGGGAGACACUCAUUUUUACAGACCCUGUGGGGAAGUCAACUCUUUGCACAGCUGAUGUUAUGAAUUUCUGUUCUUCAGAAGGUUGCUCCUCCUACGAGUCUGCACUUGACCCAAGGAUCUGGAACCUAGCUGGCAUCUUCAUCUCAAAGCCACAUGCCCAGGGAGCCAGGGCCCUCCACACGCUUCUUCUACAGUUCACGAUGAGGAGAGGGGAGAGAUUGGAGAGAGAAGACAAGAGACAACCUAUUUCAUGAUGUUGAAAUCUUACGGUUUGAAGAGACCUUUCCAGUCAUCUACGAUGGUUCCCAAACACUGCUCCAUAACAAAGUUUUCACCAUCCUACAUCAGCCAAGGAUGGUGUUGUGAGUUUUACAUAAAGUAAAACAUAUCAAUUUAAUUUAUCCUAAAGUUACAUAGCUCACUUUCUUAUUUCAUAUUAAAAUGCCCUUUUAGGAGGAACACAUGAGAUCAGGAGUUUGAGACCAGCCUGGCCAACAUGGCAAAACCCCAUCUCUACUAAAAAUACAAAAAUUAGCCAGGCGUGGUGGCAGGUGCCUGUAAUCACAGCUACUCGGGAGGCUGAGGCACAAGAAUCACUUGAGGCAGAGUUUGCAAUGAGCUGAGAUGGUGCCACUGCACUGCAGCCUGGGUGACAGAGUAAGACUCUGUCUCAAAAAUAAAAAACAUUUUUAAAAAAAUCCCUUUUAGGAAAUGGAAAUGAUAAAAGAUGGCAAUAGAUAUUUUACCCUUUUUUGAGGGGGAAAAAAUGUGGUAUGUCCAUGUUUGGUGUGCAAUUUUUUUUUUUUUUUUUUUUUGAGACAGAGUUUCACUCUUGUUGCCCAGGCUGGAGUGUAAUGGCUCGAUCUCAGCUCACAGCAACUUCUGCCUCCCGGGUUCAAGCCAUUCUCCUGCCUCAGCCUCCGGAGUAGCUGGGAUUACAGGCAUGCGCCACCACGCCUGGCUAAUUUUGUAUUUUUAGUAGAGACAGGGUUUCUCCAUGUUGGUCAGGCUGGUCUUGAACUCCGGACCUCAGGUGAUCAGCCCGCCUCGGCCUCCCAAAGUGCUGGGAUUACAGGCGUGACCCAGCACGCCCGACCUGGUGUCCAAUUUUUAAACAUUAAUCUGAGAGCAAAACCAAUCUACAGUGAAGAAAAUAUUUACUGGCUGCCUGGGCCUGGGAGUGGGCUGCUGCAAAGGGCUACGAGGCAACUUUUUGGAGUGAGAGAAAUCUUCUCUAUCUUGAUUAUGGUGGUGGUUACACAUAUAUUUGCCAAAACUAUAUACGUAAAUGUGUAGAUUUUAUUAUAUGUAAAUUAUACUGCAAUAAAAUUGA